CAUAAUACUGUGGUCAUCAAAGGUGCUUGAUAUGAUUUUAAUAUUCCUAAAUUUAUUAAUAUUUGUUCCAUGACCUACCAUAUGGUCUAUCCCAGACAAUAAUCCAUGUACACUUGAGAAAAAUGUAUAUUCUAUUGCUUUUGGAUGGAAUGUUCUGUAUAUAUCUAUUAAGUCCGUAUGUUCUCAUGUAUUGUUUAAGACCAAUAUUUCCUUACUGGUUUUCUGUCUGGAUGAUCUUGCCAUUGAUGAAAGUAGGCUAUUACAGUCCCCUACUAUUAUCAUAUUGCUGUCUGUUUCUCUCUUUUAAUCUAGUAAUAUUUGCUUUAUCUAUUUAAGUGCUCCUGUAUUGGGUGCAUAAAUAUUUAUAAGCGAUAUAUCCCUUAGUUGAAUAGACCCUUUUAUCAUUAUGUAAUGACCUUCUCUGUUUCUUACUACAUUCUUUGUCUUGAAGUCUAUUUUGUCUGAUAUAGUUACCCAACCUUCUUUUUGUUUCCAUUUGUAUGGAAUAUCUUUUUCCAUCCUUUCACUUUCAGUCUAUGUGUGUCCUUACAUCUGAAAUGAGCCUCUUGUAGAUAGCAUACAGAUGGGUCUUGUUUUUUUAUCCAUUGGGCUGCUCUAUAUCUUUUUAUUGGAGAAUUUAGUCCAUUUACAUUUAAAAUUAUUAUUGAUAGGUGUGUAUUUAUUGCCAUUUUGUUCAUUGUUUUCUGGCUAUUUUGUAAUUCCUUUGUUCCUUUCUUCUUCUCUUGCUUUCUUCCUUUGUGACUUGAUAACAUUGUGUAGUAGUAUGCUCAGAUUCUUUUCUCUUUUCUUUUCUAUACCUAAUAUAGUUUUUUGCUUUGUGCUUCCUUUGAGGCUUACGUGAAACAACUUAUAUUUAUAACAACCUAUUUUAAGCUUAUAACAACUUAAGUUUCAAUGUAUUGCAAAGCUCUAUAUUUUACUUUCCCCCAAAUUUUAUGUUUUUGAUGUCACAAUUUACAUCUUUUUGUCUUGUGCAUCCCUUAACAAAUUAUUGUUCUCUUUGCUACUGUUCUUAACUUUCAUACUAGCUUUGUAAGUGAUUAACCCACCCCCUUUCAACAUUAGAUUUUUCUGAAUUUCAAUAUAUAUUUACCUUUACCAGUGAGAUUUAUCCUUUCACCUGUUUUCCUGUUACUAACUAGCACCUUUUGUUUCAGCUUAAAGAAGUCCCUUUAACAUUUCUUGCGAGGUUAAUCUAGUGAUGAUGCUCUUUUAUCUUUGCUUCUCUGGAAACUGUUUCUCUCUCCUUCAAUUCUGAAGGACAACUUUGCCAGGUAGGGUAUUCUUGGUGGACAAUAUUUUUCUUCAGUACUUUGCAUAUGUUGUGCCACUCCCUUCUGGCCUGAAAAGUGCCUACUGAAAAAUCUGCUAAUAGACUUAUGGAGGGUUCUCUUGUAUGUGACAUAUUUGUUUUCUCCUGAUGCUUUUAAGAUUCUAUCCUUAUCUUUAGCUUUUGACACUUUAAUUGCUAUUUGUCUUGGAGUCUGUCUCUUUGAGUUCAUUCUAUUUGGAAGUCUCUGAGCUUCCUGGGUGUGAAUAUCUAUUUUGUGCCCCAGGAUAGGGAAUUUUUCAGCAAUUAUUUCUUCAAGUAAGUUUAUUGCCCCUUUCUGUCUCUCUUCUCCUCUGGGACUCUCAUAAUGUGAAUGGUGGUCCACUUAAUGUUGUGCCACACUUCCCUUCAGCUAUCUUCAGAGUUUUUUAUUCUGUUUUUGAUGCUGUUAGUGGGUGAGUUCCACUGCCUUGUUUUUUAGUUCACUGAUCCUUUCUUCUGCUUCAUCAAGUCUGCUGUUGAAUCUCUCUAUUGCAUUUUUAAAUUCAGUUAUUGUAUUAAUCAGUUGUAUGACUUCUAUAAGGUACUUUCUUAUAUUUUCUCUUUGGUGAAAUUCUCAAUUUGUUCAUUUAUUCUUCUCUCAAACUCAAUGAGCAUCAUGUGAUCAUUAUUUUGAGCUCUUUAUCAGGUGUAUCACUAAUUUUCAUUUCGUUAAGUUAUUUUUCUGAUGUUUUAUCUUGUUCUUUUGUUUAGAACAUUGCUUUGUUUCUUCAUUUUCCUUGAGUCUCUGUGUUGCUGUCUAUGCAUUAGAUAAAGUAUCCACCUCUCCCACUCUUGAAGGAAUGGCCUCAUGUAAGAGGUGAAUCUUAGUUUUCAGCCUUGCCCUAGCUCUUGUUUGUCUCUUAAACCUUUGUGAUUGUCCAAGCUGCUUUAUUUAAAUUUUAGUGGCUCCCAGUAGUUGAUGGUGUGCCAAGACUUGUCAGUGUCCCAAAGGGAAGGAUCACAGUCAAGACCUAUAUUCAAGCUGGUUGGUAGCCAAACCCUCAGGCAGCAGCCUUUAAAGUAUGCAAAUAUACCUCUUUCAGCAGACUGAGGAAUGGAUAUUUCUGCCUGCUACCUCUGUGCUGAGCCCUGGGAUGAUAGCCAGUUAAGAUCUCUUUCCUUGUUUGUCACUAUCCUACUGAACCCAUUAACACAAGCCCCAUUUGCAAUCAGAGCCAGGCUAUCAAGUGAUGUGUCCUUUGGGUGACAGACACAAAAACAGAGAGGACAGGGUACAAGACAAAUAAGCAAGCUCCUUUCUUGGAGAUAUCGAUAACCUGGGGUGGGGCAGAGGGAAAGCAUAAAUAUAGCACCGACCUCUGAAGAAGAAUGUAUUUGGCUCCAGAUGUGUGUUUAAUUAGAAGCCUGCCCAUCAGGCAAUAGCUAUGAAUAUGAGCUAAUAGACCUCGUUCACAGCUACUGGUGACCUGGUGUAAGGCAGAAAGCGAGUGCAAAGAAGGUUCCCACUGGCCUCUGCACACAGAGAGCACUUCAGUAGGCCUCUAGAUGUGUGCUAAGCCGGAAGCCUUCCUUUUGGUCCAAAAUUCCAAGUCAAGUAAAUCUGCCUUUUUCCCACAAAGACUGGUGGUAUGUUUCAGUUUGCUGUCUGUGCUGUGCCCUGGGAGUGAUAAUAGUCCAAGAACUGUUACUCCAUUUGUCACAGUCCCAUGGGACCCAGAAGUCAAGCCCCACUAGCCACCAGAGUCAUGAAAUUAAGGGACAUCCCCUGGGUAAUAACACAAAACCAGGACACAAAAUGUAAAAACUGGGACAUCAAGUGUGUGUAUAAACUCCACUCUGGGAAAUACCUUUGCUCUGGAGUGCAACAGAGAGAGAGUAAAGACAGGGCCCACCCUUCAAGGUAUCUGGAGAGGUUCACAGUGAAACUUUAGAUGUAUGUUAGUUAGAACCCUGCCCCUCAGCCACAAAUAUGAAGAUAAGCUAAUAGGACUCUUUCACAGAGAGACUGAGCACCUUAGUCUCUUGCUUCUCUGUUGUGUCCUGGGGGUGACAACCAUUUAAGAACUCUCUCUUUUUGUUACAGUCCUUUGGGACCUGCAAACUUAAACCUCACUUAUGCUUGCCCCAGAACCAGCCAAUCUAGAGGUAUCCCAUGGUUGGAAGCUGUAAAAAUUGGGGUGCCUGGCCCCUGAAAAAUCUCUUUUCUGGGGGAUACUGAUGGCCUGGAGUGAGGAAGAGGAAGAGCACAAAGUUGGCACCCACUAUCCUCUGUCUUUGCAGAGUAUUUUAGUAGACCCCUAGAUGCAUGUUAAAAUUAGAUUCCUGCCCCUCAGGCCAAUGCUUUAAGAUAAGCAAAUGCACCUAUUUCAGAGAGCCUUGGGGUUUUUCAGUUGGCUGCCCCUGUGCUGGGCCCUGCAGUGGAUGGGUCCACAUGCACAGGCCCUUUAAGUACUAUUUCUCAGUUCACUAUAGCCUUCUGGAUCUUCUGGAUGCAAGCCCUGUUGGUUUUCAAAGGUAGACGUUUUGGAGGUUCAUCUCUUAGGUGUAGGUCUUAAAAGUUGGGGAACCAGGUAUGGAGUUUAAGCCCUUUACUCUUGAGGAAGAAGCUCAGAGUUUUGAUUUCCUUCCCACUUGUGGGUUGCCACUCUGUGGGUGGGGCUUAAGUUGAGAUUUUGUCUCAGUCUCUCGUAUCCACUUCAAUGUGGCUUUUUUCUCAGUUGCCUUAUUUGUAGGAGUAACUCAGCUAAUUUUGGGGUUUUUUCAAAAGAAAUUGUUGUUUUUGUAACUGUCGAUUCAGUGUAUCUGUGACAAGGUAAUUUCAGGAUCCUCCUACAUAGCCAUCUUGAACCAGAACUUCCAAAUUACAAUUUUUUGAACCUAUCAAAGAGCUGAAGUUGCAAGUCAACCAAGGGAGCUGAAUGCCAAAUGUUGAGAAGCCCCAACAAGGAGAGAUGGAAACAUGAAUUACUCCACCUUUGAUAAAGCAAAAGAGGAAGAGGAACCAGGCAAAGAUCCACUACCUUAGGGAGGAAGGUUGAAGCAAAAGCCAUUCUGAUCCUGGAGGAAAGUAGCCUUGAAACUCUACUACCUGCAGUUACAGUGAAAACCAACAGUGUGGCAGCCACUGGAGGAGGCAAAAUAUGGUUGGAGCUCCAGCAAAAGUCCCAUUCUGAGGGAGUUUUCAUGAUUUGACCAGUCUUGUAUUUCCCUGGAAGAGCCCACUAACAAGGUACAAUGUGAAGUCAACAGUCUACAACCUGGAAGAGGGACCUUACCAGAACCUGACCGUGCUGGCAGCCUGAUCUUGGAUUUCCAGCCUCCAGAACUAUGGAGACAGCUCACAUGGAUGUGCACCUUUGUAUAUUUGCUGUUUUGGCCCAUUUAAUGGAGAUCCUGCACAUAUUGUACAAGAACGCUACUCAUUCUUAUUAUUGGAAAAGUGGUCUUGGAAAUCUCCACUCCCAUGGCAAGGUACUGUGAUUGGCCCUGAGGAUAAAUGGCAAUGAUGAAAGUCCUUUCUGUCAAGUAAAUCAGAGACUCGUGAUGUGACAGCCCUGACAAUUUGCCCAUGAGGACAAAUGUUUUCUGGUCCAGUGGUACUUCCUCGGAGCAAUUUGUCUCAUAUAUUUCAAAGCUGAUGAAAAUGCAUUCUCUCGUCCCACCUGGAUGACUGCCUAAAGCUGUUCCUUGAAUGUUGGAAGGCCCACCUCUGAACCAAAGAGACUCUCUAAACCAAUCUACACAGUCAGAGUGCAAUGCGGAAGAUAGGGAGAGAAGCGACCCAGGUCUUUAAUGAAUUCACAUAAACAAAUUACGACUCCCAGGUAUCUGUUUCUUCAUAAAUAAAACAGGACAAAAUAAAAUAAAAAGGGCAGCUAUUUCAAAUUGCUCUUCCCACAUGAUCAAGCAGUUUCUAGGUUCAUAUAUAUUAAUAGAUGUAAAGGGUUUCAAAUGGUUGCUGGUGUUAUGUCAGUAGUUUCGUCGAAUUUGGGUUCCAUUAGUUUACUUGCUGCCAUAAUUUAAGGCGGCAGCAGUUGUCCCAGAAUUGUUUUGCAACAGUGAAGGACUGUCUUAUUAAGUAUCUUCUCAUUCUUGUACUCAUGAACACUGGAGUAAGCAUUUUCUAAAAGUGGAAUUGUUGGGUCAAUGGAUAUAUGCAUUAAAAAUGUUUCUAGAUGUUGCCAAAUUGCCCGUCAAAACAUUGUCUGAAUAUAGCUGAUUUUCCAGAUCCUCACCAACACUGAGUGUUAUCAAUAUAAUCUUUUGUGAUCUGGUAUUUUGCCUAUAUAUUAAAAUUUCCAUUAAAUUUACCAACUUUUCUGGGAAUGAGGGUAGAACUUUGUUGAAGACUUUGAAAGACAGCAGGCAGUGAUAAUCUUUUGUUAAGAAUGUGACCGUAGAAGUGACAUCACCAUGAUGGUGACAUAGAUUUUUUCUGACUUCACUCUCCCUCACAAGAAGAAGAACUAAGAACUAUUUAUGAACAAGACACCACUGAGAGAAUCCUAGAACAUGGGAGUGAGGCUUAAGCACCAACAGGCACCUCAGGGACCAAGACAGACUGCUUUAGAAGGGUAACAGGAGCGGCUACAUGUUGACCACAUUGCCCCUCCCCUGGACCAGUGUAGCACCACAUGGAGAGGUCUCCUUGAGCUUUCAGUUCCUCCAGUGGAAAAAGAGAACCUGGGGGGGGGGACAAGCAGGUCCCCAGCAUUGUGGGUUACUUUGCAGGAGCCCCUGCUCUGAUUUUACACCACAGGGAUUGCAGGGGGAAUCUGCCUGGCUCAACCACUGGGAAUCUGACUGUGACGGAGAAGGGGGAAGGGACUUGUAACAACCAGCACACAGAUCUUGGUGGACCAAGUUCAUACCUGGAAUGCCCAAGUACUAAUCCCAACCAGAGGGUUUGCUUAUAUGAAGAACCAAAUUAGGGGUGCACUUCGACCAAGGAAAUUGGUAGGGUGCAAAUCUACCUGAUUCAGAUCCUCAAAUGAGGAGUUCUACUGGUUUUAGAGCCUGGUUUGUCUAUAUUCAGUCAGGGAGCUGAAUCAAUAGCCCCACAUGCUAUGGAGAGUCCUCUGACCCCAUCUGACCACAAAAGGAUGGUGACAACUCCUGGAAGCAGUGUAGCCCAGUGAUGCUCAAGCUGAAAGGCAAGCAGACAGAGCUGAUGGCCCCCAGAGGAAAGACAGUACUCAGCAGGGAGUAUUCCCGUGUUACAUACAGGUAGGGAGAUUAAUUUAUAACUAAGGCUGAGGGUAGCUCCCAGCCCCUCCCAACUGGAAAGCCUAUUUGGGAAAUUGAGAGUGGCUUGGAGUGGCCCCUCUCCCUCCUUCCCAGGCAAGGGAGCUGAGACAUAGCCCCCCGGCCCCCCUUGAAGAAUGUCUUCCAGCCCCAUCUGACCAGGAGGGCUUGAGAUGACUCCUGGAAGUUGUGCAGCACAGUGGCACUCAAGCUGAGAAAUUGGUGGUCAUAUCUGAUAGUUUGCAGAGCAAAGCCAGUGGCCCUGUUUGGUCAUGGAAUUUGGGCAGAGGGUCAUCUCGAGUUAGGAAACCAAAGAGCAUUACUAGUUUUAGAGCUGCUUCUCCUCCUGCACUCAGGCAGGGAAUCUAAUUUGUAGCCCUGCUCAUCACUGAAUAUAGUCUUACCUCUCUCUGACCAGGGAACCUAACCAGAGCACACAGGAAGCUGCAUAGCCCAUUCAACAGCCCUACAUAGUGGCUUUGGAACAGAGAGCACAGCCCGUGGUUUUCCCUGUCUGCAAAGCAAAAGUGGUGGCUUGGCCUGAUCAGGGAAUUCAGUGAACACUCUGGCCUCAUUUGAAUCCCCAAGCAAUGAGCUGUACAAGCCCUGGGUCUUGUCCUGCUGCCCUGACAGGGUAGGAAAGCUAAUUCAUAGCCCCAUCUACUACUUAAUAUAGUACCCAGUACCAAACAUCUAGUAAGCCCAACUAGAGAAUCCAGGCAACUGUGGAGCCCAUCCUACAGACUUCCUUAGCUAGGCAACCAUGCCAGCAAUUCUACCCAAUUGUUCUCAGUCAGUGGCACACCCCUCCUGCCCUGUCCUCAGAGCUCAGAUAGUUACCUCACCCUAAAAUAGACCAUAAUAGCACGCCGUACCUGCUCAAGGACAUUACCAGCAGACACACUCCAAAACCCAAACUGAGCCGACUGGCAAAUAACUGUCUCUGCCAAAGAAAACCUAUAAAAUCUGGAAGAGGUGCCUGAUUACUCAAAUGUGCAGAUACCAGUGUAAGGAAUCAAGGAUCACAAAAAAUUAGGUAAAUACGACACCACCAAAGGAAACUAAUAAAGCUCUAAUAACUGACUCUGAAGAAAUGCAGAUCUACGAACUGUCAGAGAAUUCAGAAUAAUCCUCUUAAGGAAGUUUCAUGAACUGCAAGAAAACAUAGACAGACAACUAAACAUAAUUAGGGAAACAAUGCCUGAAAAAAAACAAGAAGUCUAACAAGGAAAUAACAAACAUUAAAAACAAACAAAUAGACAGAAAUCGUAGAGUUAAAAUACAAUAACUAAACUGAAGAAUGCAAUGGACAGUUUCAAAAGUAUGCUCAACUAUGCAGAAGAAUCAGCAAUCUGGAUGAUAGAACAUUGGAAAUUACCCAGUCAGAGGAGCAAAAAGGAAAAAGAAUGAAAAUGAACAAAGUAAGCCUACAGGGGCUAUGGGACACAAUGAAAGAAACAAUACUCACAUUAUGGAAGCUUAAGAAGGAGGAGAAAGAGAAAGAGACAGAAAGUAUAUUUCAAACAAUAAUUGCUGAAAACUUCCCAAACCUGGGGAGAGAAAUAGGCAUCAAGAUCAAUGAAGCCCAAAGGACUCCAAAUAGAUUGAACUUGAAUAGGGCUAUACUGAGACACAUUAUAAUUACCAUCAAAAGUCAAAGACAAAGAAAGAAUUUUAAGAAGAGCAAGAGAAAA
Molecule: long non-coding RNA, 8232 nt
Organism: Equus caballus (horse)
Lineage: Eukaryota; Metazoa; Chordata; Mammalia; Perissodactyla; Equidae
Source: RefSeq, a predicted model, not a curated record